AAGAGUACGUGAAACCGUUUAGAAGUAAACCUGAGAAACCCAAAAGAUCGAAUGAGGAGAUUCAUCGUCAAAAUAUUUGGUAUUAAUACUUUUCAUGAUAUGGCAAAUAAUCCUUGUGGUUACUGUGUUGUACAUUUUAGUAUUAUUUUUGCCUUAUAUGUCGGCGUGCACUUCUCCUCUAGUAGAACGUCGCGACCCGUUAAAUGUUAAUCUAUGGCCCAAUUGAUAGUCUCAAAUUCUGCUUGCAUUAUUUCGAAAAUCAUUGGUGUUACUUGAUUAACUGUUUGACGGUACUCGUAUGGUAAUAAGUCGCUAUAUAUUAGCGUUGAGUUUAUCACAAGUGCGAUUAAUUUUCGAUAGUGCGGAUUUAAUGCCGUCGUUGAGAUUAAUCAACUGUUAGUUGAUAAUAUUCUUUAACUGACUUUAAUACCGGUCAGCGACGCUACUGCUUUGGGUAC
Molecule: ribosomal RNA, 458 nt
Filed under: Chelonus (Microchelonus) sp. SY-2020
Lineage: Eukaryota; Metazoa; Arthropoda; Insecta; Hymenoptera; Braconidae
Description: Microchelonus sp. SY-2020 partial large subunit ribosomal RNA
Source: RNAcentral